UAACACAUCUUAUCAAAUGUGCUUUUUUCAUCUUGCUACAGAAAAUGAACUCACUAAACGUAUCUUUCUCUCUCUAUGUCUUUUUCUGUUUCACACACACAGACACACACAAGUUUGUUUUUCUAGACCUAUUAUUACUUUAUUAAAUCAAUCCUCCAGCUGCUGCUGGCAUUUUCACUAAAACCAGGAAGAUAGAGCACAUCAGCCCAGUUCUAAAGUCCUUACACUGGCUCCGUGUAUCUCAGAGGAUAGACUUUAAGAUACUGCUGUUGCUGAACGGCUUAGCACCACAAUACAUUAAAGAUCUGUUGUUAUUGUAUCAACCUCCCAGUUCACUCAGGUCUCUGGUUCUAAUCUUCAGAAUCUUGAACAAACUUCCAGAAAACUGCAAAACAGCUGAAACACUGAGUUCCUUUAAUCAAGACUAAAAACCCAUUUGUUUAUAGAGUUGGCCUUAAUUAAUAAAAACUGGAACACAGGUAAGAUGUGAUGUGAUUUUUAUUUGUUUACUGUGUUAUUUUUCAUCUUGUCCAACAGAUUUAAUUGACUCGAAAUGUGUUUUACAAGUUGACUUAUUGACUUUCCUUAUCUGAUACAAUAUUUCUUUGGACCUGUGAGCAAACAUUACCAAAUUAGAAGUACAAGCUGAGUGUAUGUAACUCUGAACUGUUUUGUAUGUGAUAUCUGCUGGCUUUGUCUGACUGCAAACCUUUUUUCCUCUGCAGACCUGCAUCCAAACCUCUGGGGAGCUGGCCGGGCGGCAAAACCAGAAACUUCCAGCUUUGGGAACAUAAAGUGGUGGUUAUGCAGUCGUGACCUGGGUUGGUGAGUUUUCACUCUAACUUUCUGCUGCUGCCCUGAUCAAUGACUUGGAUUUAAGCUAUUUGAUGUCAUACAUCAAAGGUGAAAUAAGGAGUUUACAGGAGGAACUGUCUCCAAUUUACCCAGGUGAGUUUCCAUAGCAUCCUAAAUCUAUUUGAGUAAAGCUGCAGAGUUAAUUCAUAUUUGACAAAAAGUCUGUCUCAAAGAAUAAAGCUGUAUGUCCUGCAAAAACACAGUUUGGUACAUGACUUAA
Long non-coding RNA from Xiphophorus couchianus (Monterrey platyfish), 1075 nucleotides. RefSeq lists it as uncharacterized. NCBI's taxonomy places the organism in Eukaryota, Metazoa, Chordata, Actinopteri, Cyprinodontiformes, Poeciliidae. The transcript has 2 exons. The record is from RefSeq and is a predicted model, not a curated record.